GAGCUUGCUCGCGAAGCAACUGGAAGUGGUUCCAAGAAAAGCCUCUAAGCUUCAGCUGGAAAUCGACCGUACCGCAAACCAACACUGGUGCGCGAGAUGAGUAUUCUCAGGCGCUUGAGAGAACUCGGGAGAAGGAACUCGGCAAAUUGACACCGUAACUUCGGAAGAAGGUGUGCCUUGGUAGCUUGAGUGUGAACAACACAAGGGCAAAGAGGUUGCAAAGAAUAGGUGGCUGCGACUGUUUAUUAAAAACACAGCACUCUGCAAACACGAAAGUGGACGUAUAGGGUGUGACGCCUGCCCGGUGCCGGAAGGUUAAGUGAUGGGGUGCAAGCUCUUGAUCGAAGCCCCGGUAAACGGCGGCCGUAACUAUAACGGUCCUAAGGUAGCGAAAUUCCUUGUCGGGUAAGUUCCGACCUGCACGAAUGGCGUAACGAUGGCCACACUGUCUCCUCCCGAGACUCAGCGAAGUUGAAAUGUUUGUGAUGAUGCAAUCUCCCCGCAGCUAGACGGAAAGACCCCAUGAACCUUUACUGUAGCUUUGCAUUGGAUUGCGAACCGACUUGUGUAGGAUAGGUGGGAGGCUUUGAAGUCAGGACGCCAGUCUUGAUGGAGCCAUCCUUGAAAUACCACCCUGGUUUGUUCGCGGUUCUAACCUAGGCCCGUCAUCCGGGCCGGAGACAGUGCAUGGUGGGCAGUUUGACUGGGGCGGUCUCCUCCUAAAGAGUAACGGAGGAGUUCGAAGGUACGCUUGGUACGGUCGGACAUCGUGCCUAAAGUGCAAUGGCAAAAGCGUGCUUGACUGCGAGACUGACAAGUCGAGCAGGUGCGAAAGCAGGACAUAGUGAUCCGGUGGUUCUGUAUGGAAGGGCCAUCGCUCAACGGAUAAAAGGUACUCUGGGGAUAACAGGCUGAUACCGCCCAAGAGUUCAUAUCGACGGCGGUGUUUGGCACCUCGAUGUCGGCUCAUCUCAUCCUGGGGCUGUAGCCGGUCCCAAGGGUAUGGCUGUUCGCCAUUUAAAGAGGUACGUGAGCUGGGUUUAAAACGUCGUGAGACAGUUUGGUCCCUAUCUGCUGUGGGCGUUGGAGAUUUGACGGGGGCUGCUCCUAGUACGAGAGGACCGGAGUGGACACACCUCUGGUGUACCUGUUGUCACGCCAGUGGCAUCGCAGGGUAGCUAAGUGUGGAAGAGAUAACCGCUGAAAGCAUCUAAGCGGGAAACUCGCCUGAAGAUGAGAUCUCCCUGGGGACGCGAUCCCCCUGAAGGGUCGUUCAAGACCAGGACGUUGAUAGGCCGGGUGUGGAAGCGCAGUAAUGCGUG
This 1322-nucleotide ribosomal RNA is filed under the name human oral metagenome. RNAcentral describes it as "bacterial LSU rRNA". It matches the Rfam family "Bacterial large subunit ribosomal RNA", at positions 1575 to 2887 of the family's 2925-position model. The record is from RNAcentral.